Molecule: long non-coding RNA, 640 nt
Organism: Gambusia affinis (western mosquitofish)
Lineage: Eukaryota; Metazoa; Chordata; Actinopteri; Cyprinodontiformes; Poeciliidae
Exons: 3
Source: RefSeq, a predicted model, not a curated record
UAAACCUUCAACUGUUGAUACCUGAAAUAUGAAUCUUUAUCUUAUUUUUUAAAUCUCUUUAAUUCUGUAAAGUGAAGAGUUAAAUGAAUCAAAUCUUUUUCUCGUUUCUUGGUCUCCUGUCUGCCGCCGGAUCGUUUUCUGCUCUGGAUGGAAACCAGAAGUUUUCUUUAGAGGAACUUCAGAGAAAUGAAUGAAAUCUGAUGACAGGUUAACAGGAAGUUUUCCAACAUGUCGGUUCAUCAAGACACAAAGCAGAAAUGAUCAUUCAUCUCCCUGAAAUGUCAGCUUCAAAGAGUUUCUGCUGGGACAAGAAUCUGAGGGGGUUUUAUGGAUUCUCCACUUUCCCUCAGUUUCAGCUGCUGGAUGUUAAACGGUUAAACGUGUCCAACGUGCUCCGACUGUCUCCUCCUCUCUGGUUCUGGUUCUGGUUCUGAGGCGGGCCGGCCGUCCCAGCAGAAACGUGCAGUUUGUAAUCUGAACAUGGAAAGAGAGGAUUCUGAUCUGAGCAGCAGGAAAAUCCCAGAGAGCAGACGAGAACCGCAGAACCGCAGAACCGCAGAACUGCAGAACCGCAGAACCGCAGAACUGCAGAACCGCAGAACCGCAGAACUGCAGAACCGCAGAACCGCAGAACCGCAGA